RNAcentral lists this ribosomal RNA (496 nucleotides) under uncultured bacterium. Its description in RNAcentral is "bacterial SSU rRNA". It matches the Rfam family "Bacterial small subunit ribosomal RNA", at positions 29 to 527 of the family's 1533-position model. The record is from RNAcentral.
AGCGAACGUUAGCGGCGGGCCUAACACAUGCAAGUCGCACGAGAGGCUUCUUCGGAAGUAGUAAAGUGGCGCACGGGUGCGUAACACGUAGGUAACCUUCCCUUCGAUGGGGGGAUAACGACCCGAAAGGGUCGCUAAUACCGCAUAAGACCACGUCACCUGCGGGUGAUGAGGGAAAAGCAAGCCUCUUCUUGAAAGCUUGCGUCGAAGAAUGGGCCUGCGGCCCAUCAGCUAGUUGGUGAGGUAGUGGCUCACCAAGGCUAAGACGGGUAGCUGGUCUGAGAGGAUGAUCAGCCACACUGGCACUGAAACACGGGCCAGACUCCUACGGGAGGCAGCAGUGGGGAAUAUUGGACAAUGGGCGCAAGCCUGAUCUAGCCAUGCCGCGUGGACGAUGAAGGCCUUAGGGUUGUAAAGUCCUUUCAGAUGGGAAGAUAAUGACGGUACCAUCAGAAGAAGCCCCGGCUAACUCCGUGCCAGCAGCCGCGGUAAAGUG